This 370-nucleotide ribosomal RNA is filed under the name uncultured fungus. Its description in RNAcentral is "eukaryotic LSU rRNA". It matches the Rfam family "Eukaryotic large subunit ribosomal RNA", at positions 40 to 398 of the family's 3401-position model. The record is from RNAcentral. Lineage: Eukaryota; Fungi.
AUAUCAAUAAGCGGAGGAAAAGAAACUAACAAGGAUUCCCCUAGUAACUGCGAGUGAAGCGGGAAAAGCUCAAAUUUAAAAUCUGGCGGUCCUUGUGGCUGUCCGAGUUGUAAUCUGGAGAAGUGUUUUCCGUGCUGGACCGUGUACAAGUCUCCUGGAACGGAGCGUCAUAGAGGGUGAGAAUCCCGUCUUUGACACGGACUGCCAGUACUUAUGUGAUACGCUCUCAACGAGUCGAGUUGUUUUGGGAAUGCAGCUCAAAAUGGGUGGUAAAUUCCAUCUAAAGCUAAAUAUUGGCGAGAGACCGAUAGCGAACAAGUACCGUGAGGGAAAGAUGAAAAGAACUUUGGAAAGAGAGUUUAAACAGUAC